RNAcentral lists this ribosomal RNA (465 nucleotides) under uncultured bacterium. RNAcentral's name for it is "bacterial SSU rRNA". It matches the Rfam family "Bacterial small subunit ribosomal RNA", at positions 338 to 795 of the family's 1533-position model. The record is from RNAcentral.
CCUACGGGAGGCUGCAGUGGGGAAUAUUGGACAAUGGGCGCAAGCCUGAUCCAGCCAUACCGCGUGGGUAAAGAAGGCCUUCGGGUUGUAAAGCCCUUUUGUUGGGAAAGAAAAGCAAUCGAUUAAUACCCGGUUGUUCUGACGGUACCCAAAGAAUAAGCACCGGCUAACUUCGUGCCAGCAGCCGCGGUAAUACGAAGGGUGCAAGCGUUACUCGGAAUUACUGGGCGUAAAGCGUGCGUAGGUGGUUGUUUAAGUCUGUUGUGAAAGCCCUGGGCUCAACCUGGGAAUUGCAGUGGAUACUGGGCAACUAGAGUGUGGUAGAGGGCAGUGGAAUUCCCGGUGUAGCAGUGAAAUGCGUAGAGAUCGGGAGGAACAUCCAUGGCGAAGGCAGCUACCUGGACCAACACUGACACUGAGGCACGAAAGCGUGGGGAGCAAACAGGAUUAGAUACCCUGGUAGUC